RNAcentral lists this ribosomal RNA (301 nucleotides) under uncultured bacterium. RNAcentral's name for it is "partial 16S ribosomal RNA". It matches the Rfam family "Bacterial small subunit ribosomal RNA", at positions 509 to 807 of the family's 1533-position model. The record is from RNAcentral.
CAGUAGCCACGGGAAUACGGAGGGGGCUAGCGUUGUUCGGAAUUACUGGGCGUAAAGCGCACGUAGGCGGCUUGGUAAGUUAGAGGUGAAAGCCUGGAGCUCAACUCCAGAAUUGCCUUUAAGACUGCCGAGCUAGCAGGUGAGAGAGGUAAGUGGAAUUCCGAGUGUAGAGGUGAAAUUCGUAGAUAUUCGGAAGAACACCAGUGGCGAAGGCGGCUUACUGGCUCAUACUGGACGCUGAGGUGCGAAAGCGUGGGGAGCAAACAGGAUUAGAUACCCGAGUAGUCCCUGUCUCUUAUAC